This 496-nucleotide ribosomal RNA is filed under the name uncultured bacterium. RNAcentral describes it as "partial 16S ribosomal RNA". It matches the Rfam family "Bacterial small subunit ribosomal RNA", at positions 28 to 506 of the family's 1533-position model. The record is from RNAcentral.
GAUGAACGCUGGCGGCGUGCCUAAUACAUGCAAGUCGAGCGAACGGACGAGAAGCUUGCUUCUCUGAUGUUAGCGGCGGACGGGUGAGUAACACGUGGAUAACCUACCUAUAAGACUGGGAUAACUUCGGGAAACCGUAGCUAAUACCGGAUAAUAUUUUGAACCGCAUGGUUCAAAAGUGAAAGACGGUCUUGCUGUCACUUAUAGAUGGAUCCGCGCUGCAUUAGCUAGUUGGUAAGGUAACGGCUUACCAAGGCAACGAUGCAUAGCCGACCUGAGAGGGUGAUCGGCCACACUGGAACUGAGACACGGUCCAGACUCCUACGGGAGGCAGCAGUAGGGAAUCUUCCGCAAUGGGCGAAAGCCUGACGGAGCAACGCCGCGUGAGUGAUGAAGGUCUUCGGAUCGUAAAACUCUGUUAUUAGGGAAGAACAUAUGUGUAAGUAACUGUGCACAUCUUGACGGUACCUAAACAGAAAGCCACGGCUAACUACGU